RNAcentral lists this ribosomal RNA (259 nucleotides) under uncultured bacterium. Its description in RNAcentral is "partial 16S ribosomal RNA". It matches the Rfam family "Bacterial small subunit ribosomal RNA", at positions 73 to 334 of the family's 1533-position model. The record is from RNAcentral.
CAAACUAGAAGGAAUGGGCGACCGGGCGCACGGGUGGGUAACACGUAUCCAACCUGCCGAUAACUCCGGAACAGCCUUUCGAAGAAAGAUUAAUACCGGAUAGUAUACGAAUAUCGCAUGAUAUUUUUUUUAAAGAAUUUCGGUUAUCGAUGGGGAUGCGUUCCAUUAGUUUGUUGGCGGGGUAACGGCCCACCAAGACUACGAUGGAUAGGGGUUCUGAGAGGAAGGUCCCCCACAUUGGAACUGAGACACGGUCCAA